RNAcentral lists this ribosomal RNA (459 nucleotides) under uncultured bacterium. RNAcentral describes it as "partial 16S ribosomal RNA". It matches the Rfam family "Bacterial small subunit ribosomal RNA", at positions 338 to 795 of the family's 1533-position model. The record is from RNAcentral.
CCUACGGGUGGCAGCAGUGAGGAAUAUUGGUCAAUGGACGCAAGUCUGAACCAGCCAUGCCGCGUGCAGGAAGACGGCUCUAUGAGUUGUAAACUGCUUUUGUACGAGGGUAAAUCCCGAUACGUGUAUCGGGAUGACAGUAUCGUACGAAUAAGGCUCGGCUAACUCCGUGCCAGCAGCCGCGGUAAUACGGAGGAUUCAAGCGUUAUCCGGAUUUAUUGGGUUAAAGGGGUGCGCAGGGGGAUUUUUAAGUCAGCGGUCAAAUCGUGGGGCUCAACUGCAACCAGCCGUUGAAACUGGGGAUCUAGAGUGUGCGAGAGGUAGGCGGAAUGCGUGGUGUAGCGGUGAAAUGCAUAGAGAUCACGCAGAACCCCGAUUGCGAAGGCAGCAUACCGGUGCACAACUGACGCUCAGGCACGAAAGCGUGGGUAUCGAACAGGAUUAGAUACCCGGGUAGUC